Molecule: small nucleolar RNA, 76 nt
Organism: Homo sapiens (human)
Lineage: Eukaryota; Metazoa; Chordata; Mammalia; Primates; Hominidae
Gene: SNORD19C
Product: small nucleolar RNA, C/D box 19C
Source: Ensembl
AAGAAAUGAAGAAACUAAAAUUGGUCUUAGUAUUGAAGUGAAGACACUGAGAUCCAACUCUGAUCUUGCCCUAAAC